Molecule: ribosomal RNA, 253 nt
Filed under: uncultured bacterium
Lineage: Bacteria
Description: partial 16S ribosomal RNA
Rfam family: Bacterial small subunit ribosomal RNA
Source: RNAcentral
GACGAACCGUGCGAACGUUGUUCGGAUUCACUGGGCUUAAAGGGCGCGUAGGCGGCGGCUCAAGUCGGGGGUGAAAUCCUCUCGCUUAACGAGAGAAUUGCUUUCGAUACUGGGUCGCUGGAGGGAGAUAGGGGUGCGCGGAACUUCCGGUGGAGCGGUGAAAUGCGUAGAUAUCGGAAGGAACGCCGGUGGCGAAAGCGGCGCACUGGAUCUCUUCUGACGCUGAGGCGCGAAAGCCAGGGGAGCGAACGGG